This 1128-nucleotide ribosomal RNA is filed under the name Flavobacterium columnare. RNAcentral describes it as "bacterial SSU rRNA". It matches the Rfam family "Bacterial small subunit ribosomal RNA", at positions 233 to 1368 of the family's 1533-position model. The record is from RNAcentral. Lineage: Bacteria; Pseudomonadati; Bacteroidota; Flavobacteriia; Flavobacteriales; Flavobacteriaceae.
GCGUCGCAUUAGCUAGUUGGUGAGGUAACGGCUCACCAAGGCAACGAUGCGUAGCCGACCUGAGAGGGUGAUCGGCCACACUGGGACUGAGACACGGCCCAGACUCCUACGGGAGGCAGCAGUAGGGAAUCUUCCGCAAUGGACGAAAGUCUGACGGAGCAACGCCGCGUGAGUGAUGAAGGCUUUCGGGUCGUAAAACUCUGUUGUUAGGGAAGAUCAUGUGCUAGUUGAAUAAGCUGGCACCUUGACGGUACCUAACCAGAAAGCCACGGCUAACUACGUGCCAGCAGCCGCGGUAAUACGUAGGUGGCAAGCGUUAUCCGGAAUUAUUGGGCGUAAAGCGCGCGCAGGUGGUUUCUUAAGUCUGAUGUGAAAGCCCACGGCUCAACCGUGGAGGGUCAUUGGAAACUGGGAGACUUGAGUGCAGAAGAGGAAAGUGGAAUUCCAUGUGUAGCGGUGAAAUGCGUAGAGAUAUGGAGGAACACCAGUGGCGAAGGUAACUGACAGUGAGGCGCGAAAGCGUGGGGAGCAAACAGGAUUAGAUACCCUGGUAGUUCACGCCGUAAACGGUGAGUGCUAAGUGUUAGAGGGUUUCCGCCCUUUAGUGGUGAAGUUAACGCCUUAAGCACUCCGCCUGGGGAGUACGGCCGCAAGGCUGAAACUCAAAGGAAUUGACGGGGGCCCGCACCAGCGGUGGAGCCUGUGGUUUAAUUUGAAGCAACGCGAAGAACCUUACCAGGUCUUGACAUCCUUUGACAACCCUAGAGAUAGGGCUUUUCCUUCGGGAGCAGAGUGACCGGUGGUGCAUGGUUGUUGUCAGCUCGUGUUGUGAGAUGUUGGGUUAAGUCCCGCAACGAGCGCAACCCUUGAUUUUAGUUGCCAUCAUUUAGUUGGGCACUUUAAGGUGACUGCCGGUGACAAACCGGAGGAAGGUGGGGAUGACGUCAAAUCAUCAUGCCCCUUAUGACCUGGGCUACACACGUGCUACAAUGGACGGUACAAAGAGCUGCAAGACCGCGAGGUGGAGCUAAUUUCAUAAAACCGUUUUCAGUUUGGAUUGUAGGCUGCAACUUGCCUACAUGAAGCUGGAAUCGCUUGUAAUCGCGGAUCAGCAUGCCGCGGUGAAUA